UGGGGAUAUUGCACAAUGGGGAAAGCCCUGAUGCAGCAACGCCGCGUGAGUGAAGAAGUAUUUCGGUAUGUAAAGCUCUAUCAGCAGGGAAGAAAAUGACGGUACCUGACUAAGAAGCACCGGCUAAAUACGUGCCAGCAGCCGCGGUAAUACGUAGGGGGCAAGCGUUAUCCGGAUUUACUGGGUGUAAAGGGAGCGUAGACGGCGGUGCAAGCCAGAUGUGAAAGCCCGGGGCUCAACCCCGGGACUGCAUUUGGAACUGUAUAGCUGGAGUGUCGGAGAGGCAGGCGGAAUUCCUAGUGUAGCGGUGAAAUGCGUAGAUAUUAGGAGGAACACCAGUGGCGAAGGCGGCCUGCUGGACGAUAACUGACGUUGAGGCUCGAAAGCGUGGGGAGCAAACAGGAUUAGAUACCC
This 414-nucleotide ribosomal RNA is filed under the name uncultured bacterium. RNAcentral's name for it is "bacterial SSU rRNA". It matches the Rfam family "Bacterial small subunit ribosomal RNA", at positions 356 to 787 of the family's 1533-position model. The record is from RNAcentral.